Molecule: ribosomal RNA, 443 nt
Filed under: uncultured bacterium
Lineage: Bacteria
Description: SSU rRNA
Rfam family: Bacterial small subunit ribosomal RNA
Source: RNAcentral
AGAGCGAACGCUGGCGGCAGGCCUAACACAUGCAAGUCGAGCGCCCCGCAAGGGGAGCGGCAGACGGGAGAGUAACACGUGGGAACGUACCCUUUGGUUCGGAACAACACAGGGAAACUUGUGCUAAUACCGGAUAAGCCCUUACGGGGAAAGAUUUAUCGCCAAAGGAUCGGCCCGCGUCUGAUUAGCUUGUUGGUGAGGUAACGGCUCACCAAGGCUACGAUCAGUAGCUGGUCUGAGAGGAUGAUCAGCCUCACUGGGACUGAGACACGGCCCAGACUCCUACGGGAGGCAGCAGUGGGGAAUAUUGGACAAUGGGCGCAAGCCUGAUCCAGCCAUGCCGCGUGGAUGAUGAAGGCCCUAGGGUUGUAAAGUCCUUUUAACGGGGAGAUAAUGACGGUACCCGUAGAAUAAGCCCCGGCUAACUUCGUGCCAGCAGCCGC